This 440-nucleotide ribosomal RNA is filed under the name uncultured bacterium. RNAcentral describes it as "partial 16S ribosomal RNA". It matches the Rfam family "Bacterial small subunit ribosomal RNA", at positions 338 to 795 of the family's 1533-position model. The record is from RNAcentral.
CCUACGGGAGGCAGCAGUGGGGAAUAUUGCACAAUGGGGGAAACCCUGAUGCAGCGACGCCGCGUGAGUGAAGAAGUAUUUCGGUACGUAAAGCUCUAUCAGCAGGGAAGAAAAUGACGGUACCUGACUAAGAAGCCCCGGCUAACUACGUGCCAGCAGCCGCGGUAAUACGUAGGGGGCAAGCGUUAUCCGGAUUUACUGGGUGUAAAGGGAGCGUAGACGGCAGCGCAAGUCUGGAGUGAAAUCCCAUGGCUUAACCAUGGAACUGCUUUAGAAACUGUGCAGCUAGAGUGCAGGAGAGGUAAGCGGAAUUCCUAGUGGAGCGGUGAAAUGCGUAGAUAUUAGGAGGAACACCAGUGGCGAAGGCGGCUUACUGGACUGUAACUGACGUUGAGGCUCGAAAGCGUGGGGAGCAAACAGGAUUAGAUACCCGAGUAGUC